UUGACCUCGGAUCAGGUAGGAUUACCCGCUGAACUUAAGCAUAUCAAUAAGCGGAGGAAAAGAAACCAACAGGGAUUGCCUUAGUAACGGCGAGUGAAGCGGCAACAGCUCAGAUUUGGAAUCUGGCCCCCAGGGCCCGAGUUGUAAUCUGGAGAGGAUGCUUUUGGCGCGGCGCCUUCCGAGUUCCCUGGAACGGGACGCCGGAGAGGGUGAGAGCCCCGUACGGUUGGACGCCUAGCCUGUGUAAAGCUCCUUCGACGAGUCGAGUAGUUUGGGAAUGCUGCUCAAAAUGGGAGGUAAAUUUCUUCUAAAGCUAAAUACCGGCCAGAGACCGAUAGCGCACAAGUAGAGUGAUCGAAAGAUGAAAAGCACUUUGAAAAGAGGGUCAAACAGUACGUGAAAUUGUUGAAAGGGAAGCGCCCGUGGCCAGACUUGUGCCCGGCGGACCAACCGGCGCCAACAGCGCCGGUGCACUCUGUCGGGCGCAGGCCAGCAUCGGUUUUCCUAGGGGGAGAAAGACGGCGGGAACGUGGCUCCUUCGGGAGCGUUAUAGCCCGCCGUGUCAUGCCUCUGGGGGGACCGAGGACCGCGCAUUUUUGCAAGGAUGCUGGCGUAAUGGCCACCGGCGACCCGUCUUGAAACACGG
RNAcentral lists this ribosomal RNA (646 nucleotides) under Leptographium tardum. RNAcentral's name for it is "eukaryotic LSU rRNA". It matches the Rfam family "Eukaryotic large subunit ribosomal RNA", at positions 1 to 664 of the family's 3401-position model. The record is from RNAcentral. Lineage: Eukaryota; Fungi; Ascomycota; Sordariomycetes; Ophiostomatales; Ophiostomataceae.